AUUGAACGCUGGCGGCAUGCUUUACACAUGCAAGUCGAACGGUAACAGGCCUUCGGGUGCUGACGAGUGGCGAACGGGUGAGUAAUACAUCGGAACGUACCCAGAGGUGGGGGAUAACGCAGCGAAAGCUGUGCUAAUACCGCAUGUGAUCUGAGGAUGAAGGCGGGGGACCGAGCAGCAAUGUUUGGCCUCGCGCCUUUGGAGCGGCCGAUGUCGGAUUAGCUAGUUGGUGGGGUAAAGGCCUACCAAGGCGACGAUCCGUAGCUGGUCUGAGAGGACGACCAGCCACACUGGGACUGAGACACGGCCCAGACUCCUACGGGAGGCAGCAGUGGGGAAUUUUGGACAAUGGGCGCAAACCUGAUCCAGCAAUGCCGCGUGCGGGAAGAAGGCCUUCGGGUUGUAAACCGCUUUUGGCAGGAACGAAACGGUGUCCGCUAAUACCGGGCGCUAAUGACGGUACCUGCAGAAUAAGCACCGGCUAACUACGUG
This 492-nucleotide ribosomal RNA is filed under the name uncultured bacterium. RNAcentral describes it as "partial 16S ribosomal RNA". It matches the Rfam family "Bacterial small subunit ribosomal RNA", at positions 29 to 507 of the family's 1533-position model. The record is from RNAcentral.